AGGAUGAACGCUGGCGGUCUGCUUAACACAUGCAAGUCGAACGGAGUAGCAAUACUUAGUGGCGGACGGGUGAGUAACGCGUGAGAAUCUACCUUCAGGACGGAGACAACAGUUGGAAACGACUGCUAACCCCCGAUGUACCGCAAGGGCAAAUAUUUAUAGCCUGAAGAAGAGCUCGCGUCCGAUUAGCUAGUUGGAGAGGUAAAAGCUCACCAAGGCGACGAUCGGUAGCUGGUCUGAGAGGACGAUCAGCCACACUGGGACUGAGACACGGCCCAGACUCCUACGGGAGGCAGCAGUGGGGAAUUUUCCGCAAUGGGCGAAAGCCUGACGGAGCAAGACCGCGUGGGGGAAGAAGGCUCUUGGGUUGUAAACCCCUUUUCUCUGGGAAGACGUUGUGAAGCAGCCUGACGGUACCAGAGGAAUCAGCAUCGGCUAACUCCGCGCCAGCAGCCGC
Molecule: ribosomal RNA, 457 nt
Filed under: uncultured bacterium
Lineage: Bacteria
Description: SSU rRNA
Rfam family: Bacterial small subunit ribosomal RNA
Source: RNAcentral